RNAcentral lists this ribosomal RNA (384 nucleotides) under uncultured bacterium. Its description in RNAcentral is "bacterial SSU rRNA". It matches the Rfam family "Bacterial small subunit ribosomal RNA", at positions 917 to 1322 of the family's 1533-position model. The record is from RNAcentral.
GGGCCCGCACAAGCAGUGGAGCAUGUGGUUUAAUUCGAUGCAACGCGAAGAACCUUACCAGGCCUUGACAUCCUCGGAACUUUCUAGAGAUAGAUUGGUGCCUUCGGGAGCGCAGUGACAGGUGGUGCAUGGCUGUCGUCAGCUCGUGUCGUGAGAUGUUGGGUUAAGUCCCGCAACGAGCGCAACCCUUAUCCUUAGUUGCCAUCACGUUUGGGUGGGCACUCUAGGGAAACUGCCGGUGCUAAGCCGGAGGAAGGCGGGGAUGACGUCAAGUCCUCAUGGCCCUUACGGGUAGGGCUACACACGUGCUACAAUGGCAGUGACAAUGGGCUAAUCCCCAAAAGCUGUCUCAGUUCGGAUUGUCGGCUGCAACUCGCCGGCAUG